Molecule: long non-coding RNA, 384 nt
Filed under: Homo sapiens (human)
Lineage: Eukaryota; Metazoa; Chordata; Mammalia; Primates; Hominidae
Description: non-protein coding lnc-SLIT2-1:2
Source: RNAcentral
ACACCGCUCCUGGAGCGAUUGUUUCAAUGUUGCUUGCUCGGAAUGGCCCUCCUGAGCAAACAACAGACGGUGCUCAAAGUAACAACUGGACUUAAUAAAAGGAGCUUACACGAAGGAGGAGCUGAAGGCUGCUGUGGUCGUGUGCUGGGGGCUGCCCCAGCUCCAGCUGCAGGACCCCGGCCGUCUGCCUUCCGACUCCGGUGAUGAUUCUUCCUGCGGUCUGAUCAAGAUUCUAUGCAGUUAACUUUGUAUCCAAGGAUCUAUAGCCAAGAAAUUUGGAGCUCAGUUUCAAACGAAAAAAGAAAAACACACUGACUGGGAUAUAGCAGUCCUGAAUGCCAAUUUGAGACAAAUUCCAGCAAGCAAUGUGAUCUAGGUGAAAAU